Long non-coding RNA from Xenopus laevis (African clawed frog), 531 nucleotides. RefSeq lists it as uncharacterized. The record is from RefSeq and is a predicted model, not a curated record. Lineage: Eukaryota; Metazoa; Chordata; Amphibia; Anura; Pipidae. The transcript has 2 exons.
GUGUGGUUCGCAGCGCCCCAUGCGCACUAGUCGCGGAGGAGAAGCGCAGCGGAGGAGGGCGGGGCUACUGUCAGAGAGACUGAAAUAGUGACGUUAACUCUGUGCGGACUGGGCAGUGAAUAGACGCUGCGGUUCCGUAGGAGACUGUAUGGAGGGCAGAGGUUUCUGGGAGGUGUAGCUAGCAUGGAUGCUUUUUGCGUGGAGCGAUUAGUGAUGACUCCGCGUGGCUGCUGCAUGCUGGGUAGGACUGCGGUGCAGGGCUGGGGUCCAAGGUUCAAUUCCAGCUGUCAGCAUGGAGUUAGUGUUUACAUGGCUUCCCUCCAGGCACCCGAAAACAAACAGGGGAAGAAAUUAAGGCACUACUGUUGCUGAUUUACUACUUUGGUUUCUGGACAUCCCAAGGCACAUGGGGCUGUGGAUUAAGAAAAUUGAUGCCAGACUUAUAAUAAACAUGCUUCGGGUGGGGCUGUUAAUGCACUUAACUUAUGUUUGUGUAAUAAAUGCAAGAUAAUGUUUCUUGUCUGAAUUUCA